AUUCCUACGGGAGGCAGCAGUGGGGAAUAUUGCACAAUGGGCGCAAGCCUGAUGCAGCGACGCCGCGUGAGGGAUGACGGCCUUCGGGUUGUAAACCUCUUUCAGCAGGGAAGAAGCGAGAGUGACGGUACCUGCAGAAGAAGCGCCGGCUAACUACGUGCCAGCAGCCGCGGUAAUACGUAGGGCGCAAGCGUUGUCCGGAAUUAUUGGGCGUAAAGAGCUCGUAGGCGGUUUGUCGCGUCUGCUGUGAAAGCCCGGGGCUUAACUCCGGGUGUGCAGUGGGUACGGGCAGACUAGAGUGCAGUAGGGGAGACUGGAAUUCCUGGUGUAGCGGUGGAAUGCGCAGAUAUCAGGAGGAACACCGAUGGCGAAGGCAGGUCUCUGGGCUGUUACUGACGCUGAGGAGCGAAAGCAUGGGGAGCGAACAGGAUUAGAUACCCUGGUAGUCCAUGCCGUAAACGUUGGGCACUAGGUGUGGGGGACAUUCCACGUUUUCCGCGCCGUAGCUAACGCAUUAAGUGCCCCGCCUGGGGAGUACGGCCGCAAGGCUAAAACUCAAAUGAAUUGACGGAAU
RNAcentral lists this ribosomal RNA (574 nucleotides) under uncultured bacterium. RNAcentral's name for it is "bacterial SSU rRNA". It matches the Rfam family "Bacterial small subunit ribosomal RNA", at positions 335 to 919 of the family's 1533-position model. The record is from RNAcentral.